Molecule: long non-coding RNA, 560 nt
Organism: Gadus macrocephalus (Pacific cod)
Lineage: Eukaryota; Metazoa; Chordata; Actinopteri; Gadiformes; Gadidae
Exons: 2
Source: RefSeq, a predicted model, not a curated record
GAACAAGCCUUGCCUGUUGCCGAGGAGCCGGAUUGAGCCGGAGUGAACUCGUGGUGUACCUGUUUGCUCUGUUCACCUAUGGAGACUCACAAAGAGUCCCUGUGCUGCAGCGAAUUUCAGCGAUGCCAGUUUCUUCGCGAUGAAAUGGCUGAAUCUGGCGAGGAGGGGGCCGUGUGUGUAACAUCUCACCCAGGCUUUACGCCUCAUCUGAACCGUUGGGUAUUGGACACUUAUUUCCGGACCCAGAAAGUCAACUGGAAACGCCAGCCAAAGCCCGCCGGGAGAAACGGACGUCUGAGCACAGAUAUAGGCUAACAUCUUACCGGCAUUUCCUGGAGUGGAUACUGCAAGGUGAGAGACUUGGGAGAGGCAAUCGCCUUGUUUUGCCAGCGUGUGUUGUCCAGGCCAUUAGGGCUAAUUACCCAACACAAGAUGGGCAGUACCGUGGCUAUCAGGAGACGGUAGAUGCCCAAGAUGAGCUGUGAUAUUUAGCAAACUCACCAUACGUUUUGUUUUUGUAUAUAGUUUAUAUUUUAUGAAUAAAACUUCAAAUUCAUGUU